RNAcentral lists this ribosomal RNA (497 nucleotides) under uncultured bacterium. Its description in RNAcentral is "partial 16S ribosomal RNA". It matches the Rfam family "Bacterial small subunit ribosomal RNA", at positions 28 to 507 of the family's 1533-position model. The record is from RNAcentral.
GAUGAACGCUGGCGGCGUGCCUAAUACAUGCAAGUCGAGCGAACAGACGAGGAGCUUGUUCCUCUGACGUUAGCGGCGGACGGGUGAGUAACGCGUGGAUAACCUACCUAUUAGACUGGGAUAACUUCGGGAAACCGCUUCUAAUACCGCAUAAUAUAUUGAACCGCAUGUUUCAAUAGUGCAAGACGCCUUUGCUGUUUUCUAUAGUUGGAUCCGCGUCGGAUUGUCUAGUUGUUAAGGUAACGGCUUAACAAGGGAACGAUCCGUAGCCGACCUGAGAGGGGGAUCGGCCACACUGGAACUGAGAAACGGUCCAGACUCCUACGGGAGGCAGCAGUAGGGAAUAUUGGGCAAAGGGAGAAAGCCUGACGGAGCAAGGCCGCGUGAGUGAUGAAGGUCUUCGGAUCGUAAAACUCUGUUAUUAGGAAAGAACAAAUGUGGAAGUAAAAAUGCACGUAGUGACGGUACCUAAUCAGAAAGCCACGGCUAACUACGUG